Molecule: ribosomal RNA, 301 nt
Filed under: uncultured bacterium
Lineage: Bacteria
Description: partial 16S ribosomal RNA
Rfam family: Bacterial small subunit ribosomal RNA
Source: RNAcentral
CAGUCGCCACGGGAACACGAAGGGUGCAAGCGUUAAUCGGAAUUACUGGGCGUAAAGCGUGCGUAGGCGGUGAGUUAAGCCUGCUGUGAAAUCCCCAGGCUCAACCUGGGAAUGGCAGUGGAUACUGGCUCGCUAGAGUGUGUCAGAGGAUGGUGGAAUUCCCGGUGUAGCGGUGAAAUGCGUAGAGAUCGGGAGGAACAUCUGUGGCGAAGGCGACUAUCUGGGACAACACUGACGCUGAGGCACGAAAGCGUGGGGAGCAAACAGGAUUAGAGACCCCCGUAGUCCCUGUCUCUUAUAC